Molecule: small RNA, 160 nt
Filed under: Marmota monax (woodchuck)
Lineage: Eukaryota; Metazoa; Chordata; Mammalia; Rodentia; Sciuridae
Source: RNAcentral
GCCAGGCAGGGUGGCUCAUGCCUGUAACUCUAGCAGCUUAGGAGGCUGAGGCAAGAGGAUCACAGGAGGCUCAGGUAGUGGCUUGAGAGGCUGAUUCAGAAGUUCAAAGCCAGCCUCGGUGAAUUAGCAAGACCUGAAACUUAUUGAGAUCCUGUCUCAA